UACGUAGGCAGCAAGCGUUGUUCGGAGUUACUGGGCGUAAAGGGUGUGUAGGCGGUUGUUUUAGUUUGGUGUGAAAUCUCCCGGCUCAACUGGGAGGGUGCGCCGAAUACUGAAUGACUAGAGUGCGGGAGAGGAAAGUGGAAUUCCUAGUGUAGAGGUGAAAUUCGUAGAUAUCAGGAGGAACACCUGCGGUGUAGACGGCUUUCUGGACCAUUGCUGACGCUGAGACACGAAAGCGUGGGUAGCAAACAGG
Molecule: ribosomal RNA, 253 nt
Filed under: uncultured bacterium
Lineage: Bacteria
Description: partial 16S ribosomal RNA
Rfam family: Bacterial small subunit ribosomal RNA
Source: RNAcentral